This 253-nucleotide ribosomal RNA is filed under the name uncultured bacterium. RNAcentral describes it as "partial 16S ribosomal RNA". It matches the Rfam family "Bacterial small subunit ribosomal RNA", at positions 524 to 776 of the family's 1533-position model. The record is from RNAcentral.
UACAGAGGUCCCAAGCGUUGUUCGGAUUCACUGGGCGUAAAGGGUGCGUAGGUGGUAGGGUAAGUCGGAUGUGAAAUCUCCGAGCUCAACUCGGAAAUGGCAUUGGAAACUACCCUGCUAGAGGGUCGGAGGGGGGACUGGAAUACUUGGUGUAGCAGUGAAAUGCGUAGAUAUCAAGUGGAACACCAGUGGCGAAGGCGAGUCCCUGGACGACUCCUGACACUGAGGCACGAAAGCUAGGGGAGCAAACAGG